UGCAAGUCGACGAUGAACUGGCGCUUGCGUCGGGGAUUAGUGGCGAACGGGUGAGUAACACGUGAGUAACCUGCCCUUAACUCUGGGAUAAGCCUGGGAAACUGGGUCUAAUACUGGAUAUUGACUUUUCCUCGCAUGGGGUUUGGUUGAAAGAUUUUUUGGUUUUGGAUGGACUCGCGGCCUAUCAGCUUGUUGGUAUGGGUAAUGGCCUACCAAGGCGACGACGGGUAGCCGGCCUGAGAGGGUGACCGGCCACACUGGGACUGAGACACGGCCCAGACUCCUACGGGAGGCAGCAGUGGGGAAUAUUGCACAAUGGGCGAAAGCCUGAUGCAGCGACGCCGCGUGAGGGAUGACGGCCUUCGGGUUGUAAACCUCUUUCAGUAGGGAACAAGGCCACACGUUGUGUGGUUGAGGGUACUUGCAGAAGAAGCGCCGGCUAACUACGUGCCAGCAGCCGCGGUAAUACGUAGGGCGCAAGCGUUAUCCGGAAUUAUUGGGCGUAAAGAGCUCGUAGGCGGUUUGUCGCGUCUGCCGUGAAAGUCCGGGGCUCAACUCCGGAUCUGCGGUGGGUACGGGCAGACUAGAGUGAUGUAGGGGAGACUGGAAUUCCUGGUGUAGCGGUGAAAUGCGCAGAUAUCAGGAGGAACACCGAUGGCGAAGGCAGGUCUCUGGGCAUUAACUGACGCUGAGGAGCGAAAGCAUGGGGAGCGAACAGGAUUAGAUACCCUGGUAGUCCAUGCCGUAAACGUUGGGCACUAGGUGUGGGGGACAUUCCACGUUUUCCGCGCCGUAGCUAACGCAUUAAGUGCCCCGCCUGGGGAGUACGGCCGCAAGGCUAAAACUCAAAGGAAUUGACGG
This 861-nucleotide ribosomal RNA is filed under the name Arthrobacter sp. KAR26. Its description in RNAcentral is "bacterial SSU rRNA". It matches the Rfam family "Bacterial small subunit ribosomal RNA", at positions 56 to 916 of the family's 1533-position model. The record is from RNAcentral. Lineage: Bacteria; Bacillati; Actinomycetota; Actinomycetes; Micrococcales; Micrococcaceae.